RNAcentral lists this ribosomal RNA (253 nucleotides) under uncultured bacterium. RNAcentral describes it as "partial 16S ribosomal RNA". It matches the Rfam family "Bacterial small subunit ribosomal RNA", at positions 524 to 776 of the family's 1533-position model. The record is from RNAcentral.
UACGGAGGGUGCAAGCGUUAUCCGGAUUCACUGGGUUUAAAGGGUGCGUAGGAGGGCAGGAAAGUCAGUGGUGAAAUCCUAGGGCUUAACUCUAGAACUGCCGUUGAUACUCUCUGUCUUGAAUACCGUGGAGGUGAGCGGAAUAUGUCAUGUAGCGGUGAAAUGCUUAGAUAUGACAUAGAACACCAAUUGCGAAGGCAGCUCACUACACGAAUAUUGACUCUGAGGCACGAAAGCGUGGGGAUCAAACAGG